RNAcentral lists this ribosomal RNA (610 nucleotides) under uncultured Anaeromyxobacter sp. RNAcentral describes it as "bacterial SSU rRNA". It matches the Rfam family "Bacterial small subunit ribosomal RNA", at positions 67 to 655 of the family's 1533-position model. The record is from RNAcentral. Lineage: Bacteria; Pseudomonadati; Myxococcota; Myxococcia; Myxococcales; Anaeromyxobacteraceae.
CGAGAAAGCCCGCAAGGGUGAGCAAAGCGGCGCACGGGUGCGUAACACGUGGGUAAUCUGCCCUGGAGUCCGGAAUAACUCGCCGAAAGGCGUGCUAAUGCCGGAUAAGACCACGGGAACUUCGGUUCCUGCGGGAAAAGGUGGCCUCUGCACACAAGCUAUCACUUCAGGAUGAGCCCGCGGCCCAUCAGCUAGUUGGCGGGGUAAUGGCCCACCAAGGCUACGACGGGUAGCUGGUCUAAGAGGACGAUCAGCCACACCGGAACUGAGACACGGUCCAGACUCCUACGGGAGGCAGCAGUGGGGAAUCUUGCGCAAUGGGCGAAAGCCUGACGCAGCAACGCCGCGUGUGUGAUGAAGGUCUUCGGAUCGUAAAGCACUGUCGAGAGGGACGAAUAAGGCCGGCGCUAACAUCGCCGGCUGAUGACGGUACCUCUAAAGGAAGCACCGGCUAACUCUGUGCCAGCAGCCGCGGUAAUACAGAGGGUGCAAGCGUUGUUCGGAAUUAUUGGGCGUAAAGCGCGUGUAGGCGGUUCAGCAAGUCGGAUGUGAAAGCCCUCGGCUUAACCGAGGAAGGGCGUUCGAAACUACUGAACUUGAGUGCCGGAGA